Long non-coding RNA from Cebus imitator (Panamanian white-faced capuchin), 985 nucleotides. RefSeq lists it as uncharacterized. The record is from RefSeq and is a predicted model, not a curated record. The transcript is spliced from 3 exons. Lineage: Eukaryota; Metazoa; Chordata; Mammalia; Primates; Cebidae.
CGCUGUUUUCACUCAAAGCCGCGUGGGCAUCCCACACCUUCCACCUGCGCCCCCAGCCCCCAGUCCAAUAGCACCCAGGCCGUGACUGACCCAGACCCCACGUCCUGACCUGCUUUCCUCUGACAUACCAAAGCCGGCGGCUGCAUCCUCCCACCACGCCCCACCCAGGGGCCCCAGCCUGUGAGGUCUAGGCUCCGUACCUCUCUCCACCCUCCUCGGACACCAGACGGGCAGCUCCGCCGGCAACAUCCUCCCCUCCCUGCAGCCCAGGUCCUGCGUGGCUCCCACUGGCCCAGCCCAGCUCCCUACCCCCCCAGGCCCGCUGGCCCAGCCAGACAAAACCACCCACUCACACCAGGACGGCUCUGGCAGCACUCGGGCCUCUCGGGCACUCUGAGACCUGCUGGACAGGCUGCCACAGCACCGGAGGCCCCCGAAGGGGCCAUCCUGGAACCACAGAAGGGGACGAUGCAGCCACUUUCUGAUCCACAAAGAUGCCACGCAGGCCUGUCCGUCUGCCCUGUGAAUGCCAACCAGGCAGAGACACACACACAGCUGAGGCUGGGCCAGAUCCCAGAGCAGACCCCUGGUUGCCAUUGGAAAGAGCCCGACACGAGGGAUGGCCCUAUAAAAAUGUUUGGCCCCAGAGAACUGCAAGCCGGAACGGAACAGGUCCCGGUACACCCGUGCUCACAGCAUCAUUCAUUCACCAGGGCCAGAGAGGGGAUGUGACGUCUCCUUACAGUGGGAGAGACUGUUUCCACAAACCGUCUGCAGGUGCAGACGGCAGAAUACGAUGAAAACGUGAAAAGGGAGAAAUCUGACACCCGCUCCUGCAUGGAGGAACCUUGAUGACACGACGCUGAAAGAAGCCAGACACAGGACGCACAUGCAGGACUCCACUUACGUGAGGUCCCUGGGGUUCAGAGACAGAAAGGAUGGCGGGCACCGGGGCGCUGGAGGGGGGCAGUGGGGAGGGGCUGUU